GAUGAAGAACGUAUCGAAAUGCGAUAAGUAAUGUGAAUUGCAGAAUUCAGUGAAUCAUCGAAUCUUUGAACGCACAUUGCGCCCGCCAGUAUUCUGGCGGGCAUGCCUGUCUGAGCGUCAUUUCAACCCUCAUGCCCCUAGGGCGUGGUGUUGGGGAUCGGCCAAAGCCCGCGAGGGACGGCCGGCCCCUAAAUCUAGUGGCGGACCCGUCGUGGCCUCCUCUGCGAAGUAGUGAUAUUCCGCAUCGGAGAGCGACGAGCCCCUGCCGUUAAACCCCCAACUUUCCAAGGUUGACCUCAGAUCAGGUAGGAAUACCCGCUGAACUUAAGCAUAUCAAUAAGCGGAGGA
RNAcentral lists this unclassified non-coding RNA (348 nucleotides) under soil metagenome. RNAcentral describes it as "partial contains 5.8S ribosomal RNA, internal transcribed spacer 2, and large subunit ribosomal RNA". The stretch from base 1 to 120 matches the Rfam family "5.8S ribosomal RNA", at positions 35 to 154 of the family's 154-position model. The record is from RNAcentral.